ACGGGUGAGUAACACGUGAGCAAUCUGCCCUUCUCAUCGGAAUAACCAUUGGAAACGAUGGCUAAUGCCGAAUAUGACCUCGGAUCACAUGUUCUGAGGUGGAAAGCUCCGGCGGAGAAGGAUGAGCUCGCGGCCUAUCAGCUUGUUGGUGAGGUAAUGGCUCACCAAGGCAUUGACGGGUAGCCGGCCUGAGAGGGUGACCGGCCACACUGGGACUGAGACACGGCCCAGACUCCUACGGGAGGCAGCAGUGGGGAAUAUUGGACAAUGGGCGAAAGCCUGAUCCAGCAACGCCGCGUGAGGGAUGACGGCCUUCGGGUUGUAAACCUCUUUCAGCAGGGACGAAGCGAAAGUGACGGUACCUGCAGAAGAAGGACCGGCCAACUACGUGCCAGCAGCCGCGGUAAUACGUAGGGUCCGAGCGUUGUCCGGAAUUAUUGGGCGUAAAGGGCUCGUAGGCGGUUUGUCGCGUCGGGAGUGAAAACUCAGGGCUCAACCCUGAGCGUGCUUCCGAUACGGGCAGACUAGAGGUAUGCAGGGGAGAACGGAAUUCCUGGUGUAGCGGUGGAAUGCGCAGA
This 578-nucleotide ribosomal RNA is filed under the name Aeromicrobium sp. BvIRR012. RNAcentral's name for it is "bacterial SSU rRNA". It matches the Rfam family "Bacterial small subunit ribosomal RNA", at positions 102 to 694 of the family's 1533-position model. RNAcentral also lists the same sequence under 7 other names. Lineage: Bacteria; Bacillati; Actinomycetota; Actinomycetes; Propionibacteriales; Nocardioidaceae. The record is from RNAcentral.